CCAGAGAACUUAGCAGAGAUGCUUUGGUGCCUUCGGGAACUCUGAGACAGGUGCUGCAUGGCUGUCGUCAGCUCGUGUUGUGAAAUGUUGGGUUAAGUCCCGCAACGAGCGCAACCCUUAUCCUUUGUUGCCAGCGGCUCGGCCGGGAACUCAAAGGAGACUGCCGGUGAUAAACCGGAGGAAGGUGGGGAUGACGUCAAGUCAUCAUGGCCCUUACGGCCAGGGCUACACACGUGCUACAAUGGCGCAUACAAAGAGAAGCGACCUCGCGAGAGCAAGCGGACCUCAUAAAGUGCGUCGUAGUCCGGAUUGGAGUCUGCAACUCGACUCCAUGAAGUCGGAAUCGCUAGUAAUCGUAGAUCAGAAUGCUACGGUGAAUACGUUCCCGGGCCUUGUACACACCGCCCGUCGCACCAUGGGAGUGGGUUGCAAAAGAAGUAGGUAGCUUAACCUUCGGGAGGGCGCUUACCACUUUGUGAUUCAUGACUGGGGUGAAGUCGUAACAAGGUAGGCGUAGCGAG
This 521-nucleotide ribosomal RNA is filed under the name uncultured bacterium. RNAcentral's name for it is "bacterial SSU rRNA". It matches the Rfam family "Bacterial small subunit ribosomal RNA", at positions 988 to 1509 of the family's 1533-position model. The record is from RNAcentral.